Molecule: ribosomal RNA, 550 nt
Filed under: uncultured bacterium
Lineage: Bacteria
Description: bacterial SSU rRNA
Rfam family: Bacterial small subunit ribosomal RNA
Source: RNAcentral
UAGGGAAUCUUCGGCAAUGGGGGCAACCCUGACCGAGCAACGCCGCGUGAGUGAAGAAGGUUUUCGGAUCGUAAAGCUCUGUUGUAAGUCAAGAACGAGUGUGAGAGUGGAAAGUUCACACUGUGACGGUAGCUUACCAGAAAGGGACGGCUAACUACGUGCCAGCAGCCGCGGUAAUACGUAGGUCCCGAGCGUUGUCCGGAUUUAUUGGGCGUAAAGCGAGCGCAGGCGGUUUGAUAAGUCUGAAGUUAAAGGCUGUGGCUCAACCAUAGUUCGCUUUGGAAACUGUCAAACUUGAGUGCAGAAGGGGAGAGUGGAAUUCCAUGUGUAGCGGUGAAAUGCGUAGAUAUAUGGAGGAACACCGGUGGCGAAAGCGGCUCUCUGGUCUGUAACUGACGCUGAGGCUCGAAAGCGUGGGGAGCGAACAGGAUUAGAUACCCUGGUAGUCCACGCCGUAAACGAUGAGUGCUAGGUGUUGGGUCCUUUCUGGGAUUCAGUGCCGCAGCUAACGCAUUAAGCACUCCGCCUGGGGAGUACGACCGCAAGGUUG